AGUCAUGGUCAUCCGCGUGUGCUUCAUCAGGUAGGCGAUGACGAUGGUGGCGGAACGGGAGACACCAGCCUGGCAGUGGAUGAGAAGGCCCUUUCCACACUGCAACAAUCAUGGGUGUUCUUGAGACAGAGACCAGUGGCAACCAGAGGCAAUAAUGUGAAGCACUCGGCUGCCUCUUUGUGCUGAUGAAAGUUGGGAUUGCUUGGAAACAGUGUCGAGAAUCUGUCCUCUGCUCCUGCUGUCCUAGUCACCCUCAGAGUCUCGACACAAUGCUACAAGAGCUAUAAAAGCUAAGGUCAUCAUCGAGCUGGUGGUGGCUUCCUUCUGAGGGUAGAGCCUAGUGUGGCUAGAAUUUUCCUUUGGGGUCCUACAGGGGCCUGAUGGUUCUUGUUUCCCUGAGCCUGAGACAAAGCGUCAAAGAGAACAUGUACCUUUUCAUGAGCACUAACAUCAGUCUUCGUCACUCAG
Molecule: long non-coding RNA, 468 nt
Organism: Peromyscus leucopus (white-footed mouse)
Lineage: Eukaryota; Metazoa; Chordata; Mammalia; Rodentia; Cricetidae
Exons: 2
Source: RefSeq, a predicted model, not a curated record